UGCAGUCGAGCGAAGCUUUUCAGUAGUUUACUACAGAAAAUGACUGAGCGGCGAACGGGUGAGUAACGCGUGAGCAACCUACCUUAGUUACUGGGAUAGCCCGAGGAAACUCGGAUUAAUACCGGAUAUUCUUAUUUAAUCACAUGAUUUUUUAAGGAAAGGUCAGCCGAACUAAGAUGGGCUCGCGUUCUAUCAGCUAGUUGGUAGGGUAAUGGCCUACCAAGGCUACGACGGAUAGCUGGUCUGAGAGGACGAUCAGCCACACUGGGACUGAGACACGGCCCAGACUCCUACGGGAGGCUGCAGCAGGGAAUAUUGCGCAAUGAGCGAAAGCUUGACGCAGCGACACCGCGUGUGGGAUGACGGAUCUAGGUUUGUAAACCACUUUCAGGAGGGAAGAAAAUGACGGUACCUCCACAAGAAGCCCCGGCCAACUACGUGCCAGCAGCCGCGGUAAUACGUAGGGGGCGAGCGUUGUCCGGAUUUAUUGGGCGUAAAGAGCUCGUAGGCGGUUCAACAAGUCGGUCGUGAAAGUUCAGGGCUCAACCCUGAAAUGUCGAUCGAUACUGUUGUGACUAGGAUACGGUAGAGGUGAGUGGAAUUCCGAGUGUAGCGGUGAAAUGCGUAGAUAUUCGGAGGAACACCAAUUGCGAAGGCAGCUCACUGGGCCGCUAUCGACGCUGAGGAGCGAAAGCUAGGGGAGCAAACAGGAUUAGAUACCCUGGUAGUCCUAGCUGUAAACGAUGGAUACUAGACGUAGGAAUUGGAUUAACGAUUUCUGUGUCG
RNAcentral lists this ribosomal RNA (786 nucleotides) under actinobacterium SCGC AAA015-N09. RNAcentral describes it as "SSU rRNA". It matches the Rfam family "Bacterial small subunit ribosomal RNA", at positions 56 to 848 of the family's 1533-position model. Lineage: Bacteria; Bacillati; Actinomycetota; Actinomycetes. The record is from RNAcentral.